Molecule: long non-coding RNA, 676 nt
Organism: Pomacea canaliculata
Lineage: Eukaryota; Metazoa; Mollusca; Gastropoda; Architaenioglossa; Ampullariidae
Exons: 2
Source: RefSeq, a predicted model, not a curated record
GCCAGACCCUAUGUGCGAAGCAAGGGGGGAAGCAGCUCCAGACAUUUAUUGCCCUGAAAACCUGCCUAGGCGUUCCCAGAGGAAUAGGAGGCCGGUGGACAGGAUGAACUUGAUGCACCGAUGUGCCAGCGGAAAUGAAAGGUUGAACGACGUCCGACAGGAGAUAAAAAAUCUUUUAGGUUGGGAUCAGAGAAACCCCUCGAAAGUGGUACAUUGCUUAAACUGGGCUAUACACGAAAUACUGGAGGUGUUGGAUAAGUGGUCUAGUCCAGCAAUAGUCGAAACAGAUGUGUGAAGGUAGAGGGUGCGAAUUUAUUUGUUAGGGUUGCGAUGUGAAAUGGUCACAUUUCUAGGGAAAUAGCGCCCAUUUUAUUUAGGGGGGGGUGACUGUAACACCCAUGACAUUUAGAGAAAAUGUCAUGUGUAUUUACACAUUUAUAAAAGAAAUAUAGAGCUAUAUUUUUUAUGUCGACUCUCGCGGUAACGGGAGUUUGACGAGAGUUUGACCGGUAUAAAUAACUUCCGGUCGAGCUGAGACUUCCUUUCUGUUGAGUGUCGAGGACGAGGGGGUCGAAGUGGAAGGUUGUCCUAAUUCAGGGCAACAUACUUUAACUUUACCCCUUACCCUUCACUUUUCCCCUUCACCUCAUCCCAAUAAAGAAUUCGGGUUGACGAA